GAGGACAAAACAACACUUUUGGCCAGUCUCCGCCUACCUUCACCCAAUCCUCCUUAUCCACAAACACACACCUCACUCAUUCCCCUGUGAACGAUAGCCGGCGGCGCAAUCCUUUUGCUUCCUCUUCCCGUCCUUGGUGGCUGGGCCUUGAGCAUCUCAGCCAUCUGGUCUGCAGCUCCUCCUUGUCCUCCUACUCUAGCGGCAGCUCGCAGAGCCCAAGGGGACGGCGUCGGAUGUAGUGGCGAGACAUGGAUCUCCGCCUCUCCGGCAUCGACGGUGACUCAAUCCGCGGCAUUGGCUGCCGGCGGCGGUUAUGGAGGUGCCCAUCCUCCUGCACAUGCUCAUGUUUUUCUUGCCUCAGACUGCCCAAAUCACUGUGGAGCACGGCGAAACUCGUCCACCGUCGCACUUGACAGCCACUGUGAUGGGUUUCAAUACAAUUCCAUGUUGAAACAAAAAAAAACCCAGGUAUUAUUCAUUGCCUUUAUUCUUACUUUUUUGUUCUGGAGUAGGAGUGUUACUGAAGCAAGUACUACUACCUUAGGAUUACGAAAUCAGUUACCAAAUAAAGCAGGCAAUUUGUUCAUCCCCAUUACUUAUUUUUUUACGUCAGUACAGUUAAACAAAACACUAUCUCAAAAAGGCGCUACCUCAGAAUUACUGUUGAUCGUGAUCACAUCACAUCUCAAAUCGUUCAUAAGUUCCGACCAGUCAUAUCGACCCCAUUCAAAUCGUAAAACACACACUGAAUUGUGGCAUAAUCAUAGUCAAAAUCAGUCAAACGACUGCAAUAGACACUGAAUCUGCUCAGGGGAAAAAAUAAUCAAGGAAACAAAUUGCUAAGGGAAAUAAAGUCUUUAAGUUCAGUUGCAAUUUUUUCUUCAACCCACUGCGUAGAGCCUCAUCUCACUUCGAUUUCACGAAUGUUAUAUCCCCACGAGAGCACAUCAUAUAGGGUUCUCUGCAGUCAGAAUAGCAGCGGUUAGUACAUUCACUCAUACAUAACCAGUGACAUUAAACAUAAUGAAAACAGUGCUCAUGCAAAAUUAUAUUCUCCUACAUUAUCCCAAUGUUCGAACAUUAUAAAGGGCAACAUAUGACAAUUCAAUGAACUAUCCUAAUUCGUUACUGUCUCUUUGUCCACUUCGUCUGAAAGAAAGCAAAAUUCAUAUAAUCUCAGAUAACCCAGAAUGUAAACAAGUAGGAAGCUUACUCUGCCUACACAGUUUCCAUGGGCUGACUCUGGCCUCUCUGAGUCCCUCGCACUUUCUUGAAUUUAGCAAUUAUACAUUCAGGUCGGCUUAGAUUUCCCAGCCACUGUGUCGCUUUCUUGAACAUAGUCUUUAUGCGCUUAAUCACCAUCUGAAAGAGAAAAAAAGAAUCAAAGGACAUAUGUAUGAUACCUUACUACUUUUUAAUUUGAAAUCAUCAGUCGUGAUCAAGAGGCAUUGUACCUCUGUCGGCUGAAAGUAAUUCAGCCAAAUGACCACCGUCAUGCACAAGACGACACAUGCAAAAGGCCAUACAACUGAUUUGGAAACACCUCUACAAACACACAGUGUUAUAAAUGGUGCUGCGCACAACCACAGAAGUAUUAAAAGCUGCACUAUUUGUAGGACUUUGAAUCCAAGAUUUUCAGGCAAUGCUCCCUCCUUGAAGCUUGAAGCAGGACCUAUCAGAAUAAGGCUGAUGAUGGUCACUACAAUGUGUGCUGUGGGAAUGAUGUCCUUCCAAGUGCCAAAAUUUGCAUUUGAGCAAAAUAAAGUCCAAUUAGGAAUGAGAAACCCUGAGCAAGCAAGUGAGGCGAUCGCAGUGUUCAAGACAAAACCAUGCCUACCCUGAGUUCAGACAAAGCAGUAAGAAAAAUUGGCGCAGCUACAGAGCUUUUGGUAUAGUCUAAUGCCAGGGAAAGGAUAAUCACCUUCAUUUUCUUCUCAUUCUCAUCAGAAUCAUUUUCAUCAUCAGGNN
Molecule: long non-coding RNA, 1968 nt
Filed under: Hordeum vulgare
Lineage: Eukaryota; Viridiplantae; Streptophyta; Magnoliopsida; Poales; Poaceae
Description: long non-coding RNA (HVUL_LNC013929)
Source: RNAcentral